Molecule: unclassified non-coding RNA, 335 nt
Filed under: uncultured fungus
Lineage: Eukaryota; Fungi
Description: partial contains small subunit ribosomal RNA, internal transcribed spacer 1, and 5.8S ribosomal RNA
Rfam family: Eukaryotic small subunit ribosomal RNA (bases 1-73)
Source: RNAcentral
ACAAACUUGGUCAUUUAGAGGAAGUAAAAGUCGUAACAAGGUCUCCGUUGGUGAACCAGCGGAGGGAUCAUUACCGAAGUUACUCUUCACCAAACCCUUAUGUGAACCCUACCUCUCGCCGCGCGGUUGCCUCGGCGGGGAGGUCUGGGGCGCCGUGGGGAAGGGGAGGCGCCGUCCGCGGCCUCUCCCCCUCCCGGCCCGCCCCCGGCCCCCGCCGGCCGCGCCCAACUCUUCUUCUGCAAAGCGGACUGCAUGCUCUGAUUACACUUGAAAGAAAACAAGUCAAAACUUUCAACAACGGAUCUCUUGGUUCUGGCAUCGAUGAAGAACGCAGC